This 465-nucleotide ribosomal RNA is filed under the name uncultured Aggregatibacter sp. RNAcentral describes it as "bacterial SSU rRNA". It matches the Rfam family "Bacterial small subunit ribosomal RNA", at positions 338 to 795 of the family's 1533-position model. The record is from RNAcentral. Lineage: Bacteria; Pseudomonadati; Pseudomonadota; Gammaproteobacteria; Pasteurellales; Pasteurellaceae.
CCUACGGGAGGCAGCAGUGGGGAAUAUUGCGCAAUGGGGGGAACCCUGACGCAGCCAUGCCGCGUGAAUGAAGAAGGCCUUCGGGUUGUAAAGUUCUUUCGGUGACGAGGAAGGUUGUUGUGUUAAUAGCGCAACAAAUUGACGUUAAUCACAGAAGAAGCACCGGCUAACUCCGUGCCAGCAGCCGCGGUAAUACGGAGGGGGCGAGCGUUAAUCGGAAUAACUGGGCGUAAAGGGCACGCAGGCGGACUUUUAAGUGAGGUGUGAAAUCCCCGGGCUUAACCUGGGAAUUGCAUUUCAGACUGGGUAACUAGAGUACGUUAGGGGGGGGUAGAAUUCCACGUGUAGCGGUGAAAUGCGUAGAGAUGUGGAGGAAUACCGAAGGCGAAGGCAGCCCCUUGGGAAGGUACUGACGCUCAUGUGCGAAAGCGUGGGGAGCAAACAGGAUUAGAUACCCUAGUAGUC